AUACGGAAGGUCCGGGCGUUAUCCGGAUUUAUUGGGUUUAAAGGGAGCGCAGGCGGAGAUGCAAGCGUGACGUCAAAUUUCGGGGCUCAACCCCGUCUCGCGUCGCGAACUGCGUCCCUUGGUUGCGGGAAGGGGAGGCGGAACUCGUGGUGUAGCGGUGAAAUGCAUAGAUAUCACGAAGAACUCCGAUCGCGAAGGCAGCCUUCCGGCCCGUCAACGACGCUCAUGCUCGAAGGUGCGGGUAUCAAACAGGAUUAGAUACCCUGGUAGUCCGCACAGUAAACGAUGGACACCCGCGGCUUGGCCUGUAUGGCUGAGCCGCCAAGCGAAAGCGUUAAGUGUCCCACCUGGGGAGUACGCCGGCAACGGUGAAACUCAAAUGAAUUGACGGGG
RNAcentral lists this ribosomal RNA (393 nucleotides) under uncultured bacterium. Its description in RNAcentral is "partial 16S ribosomal RNA". It matches the Rfam family "Bacterial small subunit ribosomal RNA", at positions 523 to 918 of the family's 1533-position model. The record is from RNAcentral.